GGGUCUGCAACUCAGAGGUAGAGUGCCUGCUUGACGCAGGAUGUCGGAAGUUCAAUUCUUCCCAGACCCACUA
This 73-nucleotide transfer RNA is filed under the name Rhizobium sp. MHM7A. Its description in RNAcentral is "tRNA-Ser". It matches the Rfam family "tRNA". From Rfam's summary of the family: Transfer RNA (tRNA) molecules are approximately 80 nucleotides in length. Their secondary structure includes four short double-helical elements and three loops (D, anti-codon, and T loops). The record is from RNAcentral. Lineage: Bacteria; Pseudomonadati; Pseudomonadota; Alphaproteobacteria; Hyphomicrobiales; Rhizobiaceae.